This 576-nucleotide ribosomal RNA is filed under the name Salmonella enterica subsp. enterica serovar Weltevreden. RNAcentral describes it as "partial 23S ribosomal RNA". It matches the Rfam family "Bacterial large subunit ribosomal RNA", at positions 39 to 652 of the family's 2925-position model. The record is from RNAcentral. Lineage: Bacteria; Pseudomonadati; Pseudomonadota; Gammaproteobacteria; Enterobacterales; Enterobacteriaceae.
GUCAGAGGCGAUGAAGGGCGUGCUAAUCUGCGAUAAGCGCCGGUAAGGUGAUAUGAACCGUUAUAACCGGCGAUACCCGAAUGGGGAAACCCAGUGUGAUUCGUCACACUAUCAUUAACUGAAUCCAUAGGUUAAUGAGGCGAACCGGGGGAACUGAAACAUCUAAGUACCCCGAGGAAAAGAAAUCAACCGAGAUUCCCCCAGUAGCGGCGAGCGAACGGGGAGGAGCCCAGAGCCUGAAUCAGCAUGUGUGUUAGUGGAAGCGUCUGGAAAGGCGCGCGAUACAGGGUGACAGCCCCGUACACAAAAGCGCAUGUGCUGUGAGCUCGAUGAGUAGGGCGGGACACGUGGUAUCCUGUCUGAAUAUGGGGGGACCAUCCUCCAAGGCUAAAUACUCCUGACUGACCGAUAGUGAACCAGUACCGUGAGGGAAAGGCGAAAAGAACCCCGGCGAGGGGAGUGAAAAAGAACCUGAAACCGUGUACGUACAAGCAGUGGGAGCACAGGUUUACCUGUGUGACUGCGUACCUUUUGUAUAAUGGGUCAGCGACUUAUAUUCUGUAGCAAGGUUAACCG